AUGAUGAUUAAGGUUUGCAUUCCCAUUGGUAUCAAUUUGUUCACGAGUUGCAAUUUGGUUUUUGGGAUGUCUUUAAGUUGGCGUCAAGGCUUAAGUGCUGCUUUGCUGCAAAAAGAGGUAAUUUCUCAGCAUGAUAUGAUGAGUAGCAGCUUUGGUUUGGUAGGUGGUAUUAUGCUUGGCAACGGGCAACAAGAUGGAGAUGGACAUGGAAAUGCUGAUACCCGACCUACUAAAUUUAAAUUACACACGCACAAGGUUGGAGCCUGGGAAUUUUAUGAAACCGCCUGUGUUGCUGCCUGCCAUGUCCUUGCAGCAUGA
Non-coding RNA from Vicia faba (fava bean), 318 nucleotides. The record is from the annotation of a GenBank genome assembly. Lineage: Eukaryota; Viridiplantae; Streptophyta; Magnoliopsida; Fabales; Fabaceae.